UUAUUUAUAUUUUUUUUCUCUAUUUUUAAAUAUUUUAUUAAAUUAAAUGAUAAGUUUACUUGAGAUAUUUUAUGAGACCGAGAGAGUAUAAAUUUUAUAAUGAUUUUUUUAUGAGAUAGGGAAAGUAAUAUAAUAUCUCAUAGACGGAGGUAGAGAGAGAAUGAGAUACUCAGAAGUAGAACAUCUUAAGGGGGAAUUCUCAGGCCAAAAUACAGCAAAUGAAGAUAGAAGAGAGAAAGGCAUGGAGAGUAAACGAGGUGGCUGGUCAGCCUUCCCCUUUAUCACAGGUAAUCUCUCCUCUCUCCUAUUAACUCUAAAAAUAAUAUAUAUAUAUAGGGAAUCGGUCCAUAACUGACAUUGUAAAAAAAAAAUAUCUUUAUAACACAUCGUGAUUCUCCAUCUUAAGAUCUAACAGUUUAAUAGAGCUCUCGUCCGCAAUUUAAUUUCAAGUAUUUUGCAGUAUAAUACUGUGGACGCUAAUUUUUCAAUUCUCAAAACGUAAUUCAUCAUCUUCUUUUUUCAAGAACAAAACCCAACCCAAUUCACAGCAUGAAAAACCCAUCAAAAUCAAAGAAUUCAAUUACAACCAUCUUGAAGCAGCCAACAACAAAUUCUCUCCGAGGCAGAGGAAGCCAUGUCUUAGUCUAUGAAGUUGUUUUGAAGAAUGGUCGGCAUGUUGCUGUGAAAAGACCCUCUAGAGGUACCCAUUCUAAGCCUCGAUUUUCUUCUUCUUUGACACCUGAAAACCAAAAUGAGAGAAUGAAAUCGAUAUUUUGUCAAAAAUUCAUAGUCCUAGACUUGUUAUACAGUUGAAGGCAUGACAUGAGAUUUUUAUCUGGAGGAGACUUCGGAUCAUUUGUCGAAGUCUGGAGAGACCUUGCCGCCGAAGUGGUCCCAAGUGAUCGUAGCAUAACUUCGGAUCUUUUGCCGAACUCUUUUUUCUUCUUUGGCUGAAGUUCUAAAGGGCCGAAGUUCACACCGAACUGCAAUGUAUUGUUGUGCUUGACAUAUCUAACAAAGGAAGAAGAUUAGAAGGCUUCCAUUCGUCACCACAAUUUCCAGAUCUCACUAAUCCAAAUACAUGUAUCACCAGAAUAAACGGGUUGGGAAAGAAAAGAUAUUCCAGUCUCCUAUGGGUGCCAAAGAUUUUUUUUAGUACAAGAAGGGGUAUUUUGAACAUUUGUCUUGUCCACAAAAUUAAACUACGGACGGGAGAUUAAUUACAUUGUUAGAUUUACGAUUGAAUGAUCACAAUUUGUUGUAAAGAUAAUCUUAAAUUGACACUGUUUGCUAUGGAUCGAUCGAUCCCCAUAUAUAUGUAAUUCUGUAAUUAAGCACACCUAGAGGGGGUGAAUAGGUGUAAAUACUUAGAAGUGAUCUACAGUGGCCAAUUUUCAAAGUUUACUAUAGCAGACUGUAAUCGGACGGUCUAACCCUGUCCGUAUUAAUUAUAUACUUUGUCUGUUAUAAACGGACAACUAAUACCUGUCCGUAUUAGUGUAAAACUUUUUUGACGUAAACAGAAACUGCAGAAUAUUGAAG
This 1542-nucleotide long non-coding RNA is filed under the name Panax ginseng (ginseng). RNAcentral's name for it is "long non-coding RNA (PGIN_LNC011237)". Lineage: Eukaryota; Viridiplantae; Streptophyta; Magnoliopsida; Apiales; Araliaceae. The record is from RNAcentral.